This 498-nucleotide ribosomal RNA is filed under the name uncultured bacterium. RNAcentral's name for it is "bacterial SSU rRNA". It matches the Rfam family "Bacterial small subunit ribosomal RNA", at positions 28 to 523 of the family's 1533-position model. The record is from RNAcentral.
GAUGAACGCUAGCGGCAGGCCUAAUACAUGCAAGUCGAACGGUAAGUAUUUUAGCAAUAGAAUACGAGAGUGACGUACGGGUGCGUAACACGUAUGCAACCUACCCUUUACAGGAGGAUAGCUUGGGGAAACUCGAAUUAACCCUCCAUGAGAUCACAGUGUGGCAUCACACAGUGAUUAAAACACCGGUGGUAAAGGAUGGGCAUGCGUCUGAUUAGUUAGUUGGCGGGGUAACGGCCCACCAAGACGAUGAUCAGUAGGGGAACUGAGAGGUUGAUCCCCCACACUGGCACUGAGAUACGGGCCAGACUCCUACGGGAGGCAGCAGUAGGGAAUAUUGGUCAAUGGAUGGAAGUCUGAACCAGCCAUGCCGCGUGCAGGAAGAAGGCCUUCUGGGUUGUGAACUGCUUUUGCCAGGGGAUAAAAAGACCAUGCGUGGUUAAUUGAAGGUACCUGGUGAAUAAGCCACGGCUAACUACGUGCCAGCAGCCGCGGUAA